Non-coding RNA from Tinamus guttatus (white-throated tinamou), 160 nucleotides. NCBI's taxonomy places the organism in Eukaryota, Metazoa, Chordata, Aves, Tinamiformes, Tinamidae. The record is from RefSeq and is a predicted model, not a curated record.
AGAUCUACAUGUGCCGAAUGAAAGUAAUGGCCCGUGCUUGUCAUUUCUAUAACAAUGUGGAAGAGAAGAGUACAGAGAAAGAACUGAUUGACUCCAUCAUGGAUAUAGAGGACUUGGUUAAAAAUGGGAAUAAACACAGAGCUUGUCCUUAUUAUCUCUC